Molecule: ribosomal RNA, 120 nt
Filed under: Salmonella enterica
Lineage: Bacteria; Pseudomonadati; Pseudomonadota; Gammaproteobacteria; Enterobacterales; Enterobacteriaceae
Also listed under: 1 other name
Source: RNAcentral
UGCCUGGCGGCACUAGCGCGGUGGUCCCACCUGACCCCAUGCCGAACUCAGAAGUGAAACGCCGUAGCGCCGAUGGUAGUGUGGGGUCUCCCCAUGCGAGAGUAGGGAACUGCCAGACAU